RNAcentral lists this ribosomal RNA (165 nucleotides) under uncultured bacterium. RNAcentral describes it as "partial 16S rRNA". It matches the Rfam family "Bacterial small subunit ribosomal RNA", at positions 355 to 511 of the family's 1533-position model. The record is from RNAcentral.
UAGGGAAUCUUCGGCAAUGGGGGCAACCCUGACCGAGCAACGCCGCGUGAGUGAAGAAGGUUUUCGGAUCGUAAAGCUCUGUUGUAAGAGAAGAACGUGUGUGAGAGUGGAAAGUUUACACAGUGACGGUAACUUACCAGAAAGGGACGGCUAACUACGUGCCAC